RNAcentral lists this unclassified non-coding RNA (377 nucleotides) under uncultured bacterium. RNAcentral's name for it is "contains 16S-23S intergenic spacer region". The record is from RNAcentral.
UCCGGUUUAACACCGGCGGUCUCUCUAGAGUGCCCAACUGAAUGAUGGCAACUAAAGAUAAGGGUUGCGCUCGUUAAGGGACUUAACCCGACAUCUCACGAUACGAGCUGACGACAGCCAUGCAGCACCUGUCUCUCUGUCCCCGAAGGGAAAGCCCUAUCUCUAGGGAUGUCAGAGGAUGUCAAAUCCAGGUAAGGUUCUUCGCGUUGCAUCGAAUUAAACCACAUGCUCCACCGCUUGUGCGGGCCCCCGCCUAUUCCUUUGAGUUUUAACCUUGCGGCCGUAGUCCCCAGGCGGUGAACUUAAUGCGUUAGCUGCGGCACUGAUCGGGUCAAUCCGACCAACACCUAGUUCACAACGUUUAGGGCGUGGACUAC